CCUACGGGAGGCUGCAGUGGGGAAUAUGGGGCAAUGGGCGAAAGCCUGACCCAGCAACGCCGCGUGAAGGAAGAAGGCUUUCGGGUUGUAAACUUCUUUUGACAGAGAAGAGAAGAAGACGGUACCUGUCGAAUAAGCCACGGCUAACUACGUGCCAGCAGCCGCGGUAAUACGUAGGUGGCAAGCGUGGUCCGGAUUUACUGGGGGUAAAGGGCGUGUAGCCGGGCUGACAAGUCAGAUGUGAAAUCCGGGGGCUCAACCCCCGAACUGCAUUUGAAACUGUUGGUCUUGAGUAUCGGAGAGGCAGGCGGAAUUCCUAGUGUAGCGGUGAAAUGCGUAGAUAUUAGGAGGAACACCAGUGGCGAAGGCGGCCUGCUGGACGACAACUGACGGUGAGGCGCGAAAGCGUGGGGAGCAAACAGGAUUAGAUACCCCUGUAGUC
RNAcentral lists this ribosomal RNA (442 nucleotides) under uncultured bacterium. RNAcentral's name for it is "partial 16S ribosomal RNA". It matches the Rfam family "Bacterial small subunit ribosomal RNA", at positions 338 to 795 of the family's 1533-position model. The record is from RNAcentral.